This 72-nucleotide transfer RNA is filed under the name Ovis aries (sheep). It matches the Rfam family "tRNA". From Rfam's summary of the family: Transfer RNA (tRNA) molecules are approximately 80 nucleotides in length. Their secondary structure includes four short double-helical elements and three loops (D, anti-codon, and T loops). Lineage: Eukaryota; Metazoa; Chordata; Mammalia; Artiodactyla; Bovidae. The record is from Rfam by way of RNAcentral. RNAcentral also lists the same sequence under 2 other names.
UCCCUGGUAGCUCAGAUGGUAAAGCGUCUGCCUACAAUGCAGGAGACCCAGGUUCGAUCCCUGGGUCGGGAA